This is a non-coding RNA of Candidatus Adlerbacteria bacterium, 903 nucleotides long. The record is from Rfam. NCBI's taxonomy places the organism in Bacteria, Candidatus Adleribacteriota.
CCUCCUAAAAAGUAACGGAGGAGUGUAUUAAGGUACCCUAGGCGCGAAUGGAAACCGUGCCGAUAGCGCAAUGGCAAAAGGGUGCUUGACUGCGAGGCGUGAAUGCCAAGCAGGUGCGAAAGCAGACCAUAGUGAACCGACCAUCCGUAUUAGACGCGGUGGAAGAUUAUCUGAUAAAAGCUACUCUGGGGAUAACAGGCUAGUUCCGCCUAAGCGUCCAUAGCGACGGCGGAGUUCGGCACCUCGAUGUCGGCUCAUCACAUCCCGGGGGUGGAGAAGCUCCCAAGGGUUUGGCUGUUCGCCAAUUAAAGUGAUACGCGAGCUGGGUUCAGACCGUUCAGCAUCUUACGCCUUAGGCGUAGGGGAUUGGACGAUCUGAACCCCACGAGAGAAUGUUUCGUUUAAGAAAAAAUAAGAAAGUGUGGAAUCAACCAAUCACGGCGGUCGCAUAUAGAAAUAUAUGCGAAGAAGUUAACUUAUAUCGGUAAAAUCCUACUCACAGAUGUAGGACGAUACCGAGGGAAGCAGCAAUGCACCCGUAGAGACUGAACGUUAACCAUCUGAAAAGAUGAAGAUACAGUCCAUUCCGUUCAGUAAUGAACGAAAAGAAGCGUGAGACAGGUUGGUCUCCUAUCUACUGCAGGCGUCGAUUAUUGAAGAGAUUUGCUCCUAGUACGAGAGGACCGGAGUGAACUGACCACUGGUCUACCUGCUGUUCUGCCAAGAGCAACGCAGGGUAGCUAUGUCGGGAUUGGAUAAGCGCUGAAAGCAUCUAAGCGCGAAGCCGACUCUAAGAUGAGUAAUCAUUAAGAUCCGUGAGAGAUGAUCACGUUGAUAGGCUUUAAGUGUAAGCGCGGCAACGCGUUGAGCUGAGAAGUACUAAUCGAUCGAUGUUCCAUCAUU